AAAUAAGAAGCAAAAAAUUUGCAAUUAGUUUCGACCUAAUAGAUUGGCUUAUAGCCCUUAUUUA
This 64-nucleotide transfer RNA is filed under the name Cucujoidea sp. 44 KM-2017. RNAcentral's name for it is "tRNA-Arg". The record is from RNAcentral. Lineage: Eukaryota; Metazoa; Arthropoda; Insecta; Coleoptera.